UCUCCGUAGGUGAACCUGCGGAAGGAUCAUUAUUGAAUACGUUUGGUUCUGAUGCUGGCUCUUCACUGAGCAUGUGCUCGAUCCAUAACUAUUUAUCUUCUCUUGUGCACCUUUUGUAGUCUUUCAGAGCAAGUGAUAACUCUCGCAGCAAUGCGGUUUGGGGGACUUGGGCGUGAGCCCUUCCCCUGCGUUUGCUUCUUUGGAGGGCUAUGUUUUCAUAUACACUAUAAAGUUACAGAAUGUCUUUUAAAGAUUGUGCUAGUCGCAGUCAUUAAACCUAUACAACUUUCAGCAACGGAUCUCUUGGCUCUC
RNAcentral lists this unclassified non-coding RNA (312 nucleotides) under plant metagenome. RNAcentral's name for it is "partial contains small subunit ribosomal RNA, internal transcribed spacer 1, and 5.8S ribosomal RNA". The record is from RNAcentral.